UACGUAGGGUGCAAGCGUUAAUCGGAAUUACUGGGCGUAAAGCGUGCGCAGGCGGUUUUGUAAGUCUGUCGUGAAAUCCCCGGGCUCAACCUGGGAAUUGCGAUGGAGACUGCAAGGCUAGAAUCUGGCAGAGGGGGGUAGAAUUCCACGUGUAGCAGUGAAAUGCGUAGAGAUGUGGAGGAACACCGAUGGCGAAGGCAGCCCCCUGGGUCAAGAUUGACGCUCAUGCACGAAAGCGUGGGGAGCAAAAGGG
RNAcentral lists this ribosomal RNA (253 nucleotides) under uncultured bacterium. RNAcentral's name for it is "partial 16S ribosomal RNA". It matches the Rfam family "Bacterial small subunit ribosomal RNA", at positions 524 to 776 of the family's 1533-position model. The record is from RNAcentral.